UCCUANNGGGNAGCAGCAGUAGGGAAUCUUCCGCAAUGGACGAAAGUCUGACGGAGCAACGCCGCGUGAGUGAUGAAGGCUUUCGGGUCGUAAAACUCUGUUGUUAGGGAAGAACAAGUGCUAGUUGAAUAAGCUGGCACCUUGACGGUACCUAACCAGAAAGCCACGGCUAACUACGUGCCAGCAGCCGCGGUAAUACGUAGGUGGCAAGCGUUAUCCGGAAUUAUUGGGCGUAAAGCGCGCGCAGGUGGUUUCUUAAGUCUGAUGUGAAAGCCCACGGCUCAACCGUGGAGGGUCAUUGGAAACUGGGAGACUUGAGUGCAGAAGAGGAAAGUGGAAUUCCAUGUGUAGCGGUGAAAUGCGUAGAGAUAUGGAGGAACACCAGUGGCGAAGGCGACUUUCUGGUCUGUAACUGACACUGAGGCGCGAAAGCGUGGGGAGCAAACAGGAUUAGAUACCCUGGUAGUCCACGCCGUAAACGAUGAGUGCUAAGUGUUAGAGGGUUUCCGCCCUUUAGUGCUGAAGUUAACGCAUUAAGCACUCCGCCUGGGGAGUACGGCCGCAAGG
This 567-nucleotide ribosomal RNA is filed under the name fuel tank bacterium 5. RNAcentral's name for it is "bacterial SSU rRNA". It matches the Rfam family "Bacterial small subunit ribosomal RNA", at positions 337 to 893 of the family's 1533-position model. The record is from RNAcentral.